GACGAACGCUGGCGGCGUGCUUAACACAUGCAAGUCGUACGGUAAGGCCCUUUCGGGGGUCCACGAGUGGCGAACGGGUGAGUAACACGUGAGUAACCUGCCCACAACUUUGGGAUAACGCUAGGAAACUGGUGCUAAUACUGGAUAUGUGCUCCUCCUGCAUGGUGGGGGUUGGAAAGCUCCGGCGGUUGUGGAUGGACUCGCGGCCUAUCAGCUUGUUGGUGGGGUAGUGGCCUACCAAGGCGGCGACGGGGAGCCGGCCUGAGAGGGUGACCGGCCACAUUGGGCCUGAGAUACGGCCCAGACUCCGACGGGAGGCAGCAGUGGGGAAUAUUGCACAAUGGGCGCAAGCCUGAUGCAGCAACGCCGCGUGCGGGAUGACGGCCUUCGGGUUGUAAACCGCUUUCAGCAGGGACGAAGCUUUUUGUGACGGUACCUGCAGAAGAAGCACCGGCUAACUACGUG
Molecule: ribosomal RNA, 465 nt
Filed under: uncultured bacterium
Lineage: Bacteria
Description: partial 16S ribosomal RNA
Rfam family: Bacterial small subunit ribosomal RNA
Source: RNAcentral